UACGAAGGGGGCUAGCGUUGUUCGGAAUUACUGGGCGUAAAGCGCACGUAGGCGGAUUAUUAAGUCAGGGGUGAAAUCCCGGAGCUCAACUCCGGAACUGCCUUUGAUACUGGUAAUCUAGAGACCGAGAGAGGUAAGUGGAACUCCUAGUGUAGAGGUGGAAUUCGUAGAUAUUAGGAAGAACACCAGUGGCGAAGGCGGCUUACUGGCUCGGAACUGACGCUGAGGUGCGAAAGCGUGGGGAGCAAAC
RNAcentral lists this ribosomal RNA (250 nucleotides) under uncultured bacterium. Its description in RNAcentral is "partial 16S ribosomal RNA". It matches the Rfam family "Bacterial small subunit ribosomal RNA", at positions 524 to 773 of the family's 1533-position model. The record is from RNAcentral.